GAUGAACGCUGGCGGCGUGCCUAAUACAUGCAAGUCGAACGGACGGACGCUACUCUUGCUUCUCUGUUGUUAGCGGCGGACGGGUGAGUAACACGUGUAUAACCUCCCUAUCAUACUGGGAUCACUUCGGGAAACCGGCUCUAAUACCGUAUGAUAUUUUGAUCCGCAUGGUUCAAAAGUGAAAUACGGUCUUUCUGUCACUUCUAGCUGGUUCCGCGCUGCAUUAGCUAGUUGUUACGGUAACGGCUUACCAAGGCAACCAUGCAUAGCCGACCUGAGAGGGUGAUAGGCCACACGGGAACGGAGACGCGGUCCAGACGCCUAAGGGAGGCAGCAGAAGGGAAUGGGCGGCAAUGGGCGAAAGCAUGACGGAGCAAGGGCGCGUGAGAGAUGAAGGCGUUGGGAGCGUAAAAAUCUGUUAUUAGGGAAGAACAGAUGUGGAAGGAACUGUGCACAGCGUGACGGUAACGAAUAAGAAAGCAACGGCUAACUACGUG
RNAcentral lists this ribosomal RNA (497 nucleotides) under uncultured bacterium. RNAcentral describes it as "partial 16S ribosomal RNA". It matches the Rfam family "Bacterial small subunit ribosomal RNA", at positions 28 to 507 of the family's 1533-position model. The record is from RNAcentral.